This is a long non-coding RNA of Oncorhynchus tshawytscha (Chinook salmon), 1600 nucleotides long. Lineage: Eukaryota; Metazoa; Chordata; Actinopteri; Salmoniformes; Salmonidae. The record is from Ensembl.
UACCUAGUCAUUUUUCGUCAUCAUUGCAUGUGAUCAUCAUUCUCAAAGCCGCUGUUUACUUCUAAGAUCACUUUAGCACCGCUCUAAAAACCCGAUUCAAAUUCGACACAAACCUUCAAAUAGAUGUGACCCUGUGCUAACAAGGCUCCUGAGCCAAUAUUCUCCAUUCCAGCUGGUCAGGACAGCCUUAAACAGCCCAUGGAGCAGCUCAGCCUGGACAGAGCUACAAACAGAUAAUAAAGACAAGUCCGUGAUUGGGCAUUCUCUCUUCAUCGUCCAAAAGCUGUUUAGUUUGGUCCGAAGAUUUUCUCAGUCUCUGUCUGGGGAACAGGAUCCAUUUCAUAAAGGGAUCAGAGGCACCAUCUUGGCCUGACUUCAUUGAGAUGUGCUUCUCUGUUUAAAUGGACUGUGUGGCCUGUUUUCUCUCCCACACAGAGAUGUCUUAAUCACGCUUGUUGUGCUGUGUGAGGGCCUUGUUGGAGAUGUUGGCCCUCAGGCACCCUGGUUAGGCUCUGUUGUACUGCUUGAUAAGGAUGGCGUUUUCCGGCCUCCUCAGGCCAGAGUUCAAACUAGCCCACAAACUAGCCCACCUCCUGCUGAACAACUCGGAGAUGUAGCAUCUCACGCUGAUCAAGCAAGUGCAACUCUGUAGGAAGCAAGCCAGACUUUUUGGACUCUUUCACAGUACAACAUCUGCAGAGGCUGACUGUGUCUUACCCCUUGUGUUGGUCUGGCCAGACACAUGACAUCAUACUGGGGAGGGAAAUGGGUGCACCUUACUAUGAAGAGACCAGGCUAGGAAUCAUCCACAGCUCAGUGCUGAUGGGAGAAUCCAAUGUUGAAGGCCUAUACAUUUCAAACCAAUAUAGACAGCAACGGAAUCCUCCCUUUUUCAUAUCUCCUGUCUGAAGUCAAGCUACCAGAGACUUCCUGUAUAUUUGUAAUUUUUUAUAUACUGUACUAAUGCAGAUUCUUUUUUUCUAUGCUAUCAUUGCCAAUGUACCACUACCUAUGUCUGUGACUACAAUCUUCAUAAUCACUGUUGACCAAACAGAAUGUUUAUCCUUGGGGUCAUUUCAAUAUAAUAAGGUCAGGAUUCAAUCAUUGCAGAUGGUAUAUUUUCGUACUUCACUUUUAGGGGUGGGUUAGAUUUACAUAAUAGCAUGUCUCAAAUUGUGCCAUUACUUUUUUAGAUAUAUGUUUUAGAUAUUUUCACUUCAUUUAGAAAGUAAGGAAAUCAGAGGGGGAGACCGGCAGGUGGGAGGAACAGUGGACACGGGGAUUGAACCCUGGUCCCCAGCGGGGAGUCUUACAUGCGACUUGUUCCGGGGUAUGUUUCCACCACAACACGGCUCUGCACAGAGAGUGCCAUUUCUUGAAAAGAAAGUACAUGUUAUGUCAUUCUUUCUCUAAACAACAACAGACUUUAAGGGUACAGAUGGGAGGACUGAGUUGUCCAACACUGGCUCACUGCAAUACAUGGCUCCUGCCUUCCACUGGUGCCAAAAGUCUUGUUCCCCUCAUGGGAGGGAGACAUGCAUGCAACCUGCUCCUGUCUCUUUCUGCAUGACACUUCAUAAUUAAAUGCUUUGCAAAAUGC